Molecule: ribosomal RNA, 253 nt
Filed under: uncultured bacterium
Lineage: Bacteria
Description: partial 16S ribosomal RNA
Rfam family: Bacterial small subunit ribosomal RNA
Source: RNAcentral
UACAGAGGGUGCAAGCGUUGUUCGGAAUCAUUGGGCGUAAAGGGCGUGUAGGCGGCUUGUUAAGUCAUGUGUGAAAUCCCUCGGCUCAACCGGGGAACGACGCUUGAAACUGGCAAGCUAGAGUACCAAAGAGGGCGGUGGAAUUCCCGGUGUAGAGGUGAAAUUCGUAGAUAUUGGGAAGAACACCGGUGGCGAAGGCGGCGAGCUGGUCCAUUACUGACGCUGAGGCGCGAAAGCGUGGGGAGCAAACAGG